UCCUACGGGAGGCAGCAGUGGGGAAUUUUCCGCAAUGGGCGAAAGCCUGACGGAGCAAGACCGCGUGGGGGAUGAAGGUCCUACGGAUUGUAAACUUCUUUUAUAAGGGAAUAAAACGCUCCACGUGUGGGGCCUUGUAUGUACCUUAUGAAUAAGCAUCGGCUAACUCCGUGCCAGCAGCCGCGGUAAUACGGAGGAUGCGAGCGUUAUCCGGAUUUAUUGGGUUUAAAGG
This 232-nucleotide ribosomal RNA is filed under the name uncultured Bacteroides sp. Its description in RNAcentral is "partial 16S ribosomal RNA". It matches the Rfam family "Bacterial small subunit ribosomal RNA", at positions 337 to 566 of the family's 1533-position model. Lineage: Bacteria; Pseudomonadati; Bacteroidota; Bacteroidia; Bacteroidales; Bacteroidaceae. The record is from RNAcentral.